Long non-coding RNA from Cebus imitator (Panamanian white-faced capuchin), 146 nucleotides. RefSeq lists it as uncharacterized. The transcript has 3 exons. The record is from RefSeq and is a predicted model, not a curated record. Lineage: Eukaryota; Metazoa; Chordata; Mammalia; Primates; Cebidae.
AGCUAGCUGAGAUUUUAUUUUGGACCAAAAAAAAAGCAAUUGAAUUGUUUUUCAGCUGGAGGCAUGGGCAAGGGGGGUCCCCAGGCAGUAAACUCCCGGCGGGUGGGCUGAGGGCUAGGUCUGAGCGUCGGUGGGCUGAGAGCUGA